GAGUCUGUUUUCAUCUCCACAAUGGAGGUGGUGAUGCCCAGCACACGGAGCUGUGAUGAGGAUUUAAUGGGGAAUCCAGAGCAUUUAUGGAAGUGCCAGGAGGCCAAGAUUCUGCAUAGGUAGGAAGGACCUAAGCCAGAGGGGUGUGGGUGGCCAGAGGAGAGAGCCUACCUUAGUAGGGCUUGGUAGGCUAAGGUCUGGGCUGAAUCUCGAGGCUCUGGAGCUUAGAACAGCAUCUGCAACUCCCUGGCUGUCGGGGUUCAGGCAAGGACUGCCUCCUCUCUGAGUGUCAGUUUCCCCAUCUAUAAAUGGAAAGCUGGGACACUGAAAAACACUGGGGGGGAGGGUGGUUCCUGAGGCAGUCUCUCUCCACACAUCACAGGAAUGUGGCGCCCCAGGGAGAAGGCAUCUUUGUCCAUUGUGUUCACUUCUGCAUCUCCAGUGCCCAGAACAGUGCUUGCAUGCAGUAGAUGCUCAAUAAAUGUUCAUUGAAUGAAUCAGCAGCAACCAAUUCGCCCACCUCACAUCCUAAGUCCGCUGGGGACGUAGGCCCACCUCUCCAGGGAAACUGUCUGCAGAUUGGGACCACACCUCAGGUCACAAGCAUUUCCUGAGCACCUACUGUAUGCAUGGCUCUGCGCAGCCCGGGGCAGACCCUUGCUCCACAGCCCGACAGGGCAGAGCCAAGGAGGCAGGUGACAGACACAGUGAUUUGGGAAGAAGAACAGAGAGCAGGGUGGCCAGCAGGGCCUUGCCUGGGUGGGAGCAGGCCGUUCCCAGGCUGGAGCUCAGGCUGAUGGGAGCCCCAGCUUGCCUGUUCCUGGGAGGGUGGGACUGCCUCUUCCUCUUUCUUUCUCUGAAAACAAAAAUUGUUUUCCCUUAAAUUUACAAGUAUUAAAAGUUUGGAAAAUACACAAUAAUCAAAAGAAUAUAAAAUAAAGGUUACCUGCCAUCAUGGCGGACCACACAGUAUUAACUACUAUGGACUUUUCAGUGUUUCCCUCUAGUCUUUUUUCUGAGGUGGCUUUGCUCUCAGAGGUGGCUUUCUCUCCCCCUGGGAAGGGAUAUAGCUGCUCUGUAGGAGAUGUGGGGGCACCAGGCUCUCUCCAUGGGCUCUUUAUCACUUCUGACUUGGAGGUCCUUUCUCCACCCCCCCUGGACCUAGCACCUCUUCCCGAGACACAGGGGUGCGAAGAGCUGGGGGAGGUACGUCAGCAGGCCUCCCCUCCUGCCCCUGCUUACCCCACGGAGGUGGGGUGGGACAGAACUCAGGCUUGAGGAAGGAGCACUGGAGGCCAAGCCACAGGUGCUGGUCCUCAGCCCUGGUGCCCAGGCAAGUUGGGUUUGGGAAUAGGGGCAUGACCAAAAUGGACCCCUCCUUUCCUCCCCACCCCUUUCCACUCCAUCCGCCUUUCCCUUUGCGUUCUCCAAGCGUUCCGUCCCCCAGAUGCCCUCUGUUUCCUCUGCUCCAGCCUUUUAACUCCUCUCAACAAAGGCCAAGGAAUCAGGCAGACUGUGGACACUCAGGUGUGCAUGAUGGGAAGGGACCUGCAUUUACAAAAGCUCCCCCCCACAGGGACUGCAUGUGCUGGUGGAAUCUCAGUCACCAUGUCCCACGUUGAAGGAUGUUUGGAGGGGGCUGACUUUGGUCACCCUUCAAAUCAUAAGUUAUAUGCGUCUGCCCUUUCCGCCCACACUGAGAAGGGCUGAAUAUCACCUGUGAGCCUGCCCCUGCUCCCAAGAACACCCUUUGGACACCUGUGGGCUCUGCAAGGUUGGUGUAACCCCUACAGAUGAGGAAACCAGAGACAGAGAAGUGAAGUAACUCAUGCAGGUGACGGCAGAGGGCAGAGUCAGGACUUGAACCUGGAGAGCCUGGCUCUAAAGCCCAAGCUGGAAUCUCGAUACUCUACACCUCGAUAAGUUUUUGGGAAAUGACUGACUAAACAGAUGAACGCGUUUGCCCCCCCGCCGCCCCAGAGCCCCCUUAAAGCCUACAUGUGGCAGUUUGGGCCCAUUUCCUUGGCUUCCCUCCCUGGAGGGGCACCCACUGCCAGUGUCCCUGCUGAAAUUUAGCAUCAUAUUCCAUGGCGAUUUUCCACCAGUGGAAAUCACAGGUGUUCUCUGGUAUCACAGCGGGGUCAGGGAUGACCUGAAAUAUUGUUCAUGCUCAUCACAACUGCAUGGCCCACCGCGGGGUCUUGUCACUCAGUGAGUUCUUGAAGAGGCACAGACAAAUGGAGUUCAACAAAUGGAAAACAACUGCCUUUAAUUAGCUCCGAGGACUACAAAGGGAACAACGUUAUAAUAGCAGCAACUCCAAGGAAGCAGCCACAGCUCUCAGCUCUCAGACCUGGGGCUGCCGCUCAUCAUCAGCUACAGCUAGGUUUGAUGGGAGUGCCCCCAUUUCAGGGGACAGCAGGCCCCCUUCACUCCCCGACUCAGUCCCCAUCUGCAGCAGCACAGCCUUCCUUGGCCUCACCAGGGAAGAAGAACAGGCCCCGCUCUCAGACAAGCCUUCCCAGAAGCCUGAGGACUCAAACACCCAAAUGUGUCUGGGUCCCUGCCCCGAGCCGGCCACCCAGGCAGCAGCCCUGAAUCACUCGGUCAGCCAGCGGCAGGGCAGGCCAAUGGGCUGGAGGGUAGGCAGGCAGGCAGACCCACCUCUGCAUCUCUGCUGACUGCCUCGGCUGAGGAAAGGCAGCACCAGCCCCCAACCCUGAAGUUCUAGAUCUCAUGCAGCCUCUCUGUUCUGGAACCAUCCAGAGGCACUGCCCUUAUACAUGGUCCACCCCCAGGCUCAGACAAUGAGAAUUCCACAAGCAGAGGGGACUCUAUUUGGGGCACAGAGAGGUUAAGUAACUCCCCUCCUAAGGUCUCUCAGCAAGGAAGCCACUGAGCCGUGGGACUUGAGCUCAGGGACUCUUGAUCCCCAGUCUCAGGUGUCACAGCCCCAUCUGGGCUCCUGCUAGGGAGGAGGAAGGCAGCAGGGGGUGUCUGAGGCCAGGGUGCAUCAGCCCUAAAUGCCAGACAGAGGCAGGAGAAGUCUCCCCAUGAGUCCCAGCCCCAUUAGAGGCUCCAGGUCGGGGAUCCCAGACCCCCUAUCCUUGCUGGGAGACACAACCCAGAACUCUGCAUCCCUGCAGCCACCAAAAAAGGCAAAAGCUGCCCAGAAACACUUUCUCCUCUUCCGUGGCCAAAUCCACGAACUUUCUCGAGGUCUGUCCCCCUGCCCCGUGCAGGUCCAGCUUCAGUGCAGCCCAGCUCUGUGCAGUUUUCCACAAAAGCCUGUGGCUUCCUUCUCCUCCCUCUGCUUCUGAUACCCCAGGAGUUACACACAAAAUGUUGGCGGUGGUCUCCAGGAAGACCCCUGCAUCCCACAGCUCUCCCCAGAAGUUGCCAGCAGUGACCUCCUGAGCCCAGGUGGGGAGUCCCAGGCAGGACAGGGGCUGGGGCUGCAGGCCCUGGGGCCCUGUUAGUGAAGCAGCAAGCCGAGGGUCCCUGAGAGUUUCCCUUGGCCCCUCUGAGGGCUGCCCUUUGAGGUCUUGAGGUCUUGGAGUAUCCAUCGCCCCCACGGCUUACUGUCCCCACCAGCGGAGGAUGAAAGUGCCACAGCGAUGUUCCACGCCAAGAGACCACAGAGACCACCAACCCCUCUUCCCACCUCAGGCUUUCAGAGGCCAGCGGAUUUAGGCGGACAGGCUGUGCGCUUGAGGGCAGCCAGGGCGGUCAGUGGAGGGACGUGGUCCGGGGCCUGGCCACAGCUCCCCACCCAGGGCCCUGGGCUAUUGUUACUCACCGCGGAUGAAGGUCGGCGAGUAGGUCGGGAAGGAGUCGAAGAUGCUGUUCGAUGCCAUGCCCCGCUCUGAAGAAGGCCAGGCUGCGAGGCCCAGGGUGGUGACGC
This 3904-nucleotide long non-coding RNA is filed under the name Homo sapiens (human). RNAcentral's name for it is "HSALNT0290857". Lineage: Eukaryota; Metazoa; Chordata; Mammalia; Primates; Hominidae. The record is from RNAcentral.